UCUGGUUGAUCCUGCCAGAGGUUACUGCUAUCGGUGUUCGCCUAAGCCAUGCGAGUCAUAUGUUCUUCGUGAACAUGGCGUACUGCUCAGUAACACGUGGAUAACCUGCCCUUGGGUCCGGCAUAACCCCGGGAAACUGGGGAUAAUUCCGGAUAACGCAUAUAUGCUGGAAUGCUUUAUGCGUCAAAUGGAUUCGUCUGCCCAAGGAUGGGUCUGCGGCCUAUCAGGUAGUAGUGGGUGUAAUGUACCUACUAGCCGACGACGGGUACGGGUUGUGAGAGCAAGAGCCCGGAGAUGGAUUCUGAGACAUGAAUCCAGGCCCUACGGGGCGCAGCAGGCGCGAAAACUUUACAAUGCGGGAAACCGUGAUAAGGGGACACCGAGUGCCAGGUUACAAAUCUGGCUGUCGUGAUGCCUAAAAAGCAUUGCAUAGCAAGGGCCGGGCAAGACCGGUGCCAGCCGCCGCGGUAACACCGGCGGCUCGAGUGGUAACCGUUGUUAUUGGGUCUAAAGGGUCUGUAGCCGGCCGGAUAAGUCUCUUGGGAAAUCCAGCAGCUCAACUGUUGGGCUUUCAGGAGAUACUGUCUGGCUCGAGGCCGGGAGAGGUGAGAGGUACUUCAGGGGUAGGGGUGAAAUCUUGUAAUCCUUGAAGGACCACCAGUGGCGAAGGCGUCUCACCAGAACGGACCUGACGGCAAGGGACGAAAGCUAGGGGCACGAACCGGAUUAGAUACCCGGGUAGUCCUAGCCGUAAACGAUACUCGCUAGGUGUCGGCAACGGUGCGACCGUUGUCGGUGCCGUAGGGAAGCCGUGAAGCGAGCCACCUGGGAAGUACGGCCGCAAGGCUGAAACUUAAAGGAAUUGGCGGG
This 870-nucleotide ribosomal RNA is filed under the name uncultured archaeon. RNAcentral's name for it is "bacterial SSU rRNA". It matches the Rfam family "Archaeal small subunit ribosomal RNA", at positions 1 to 872 of the family's 1478-position model. The record is from RNAcentral.